Molecule: ribosomal RNA, 729 nt
Filed under: bacterium IMCC11071
Lineage: Bacteria
Description: bacterial SSU rRNA
Rfam family: Bacterial small subunit ribosomal RNA
Source: RNAcentral
AUUGAACGCUGGCGGCAGACCUAUCACAUGUAAGUGGAGGCGAAUCACAGAGUAGCUUGCUACUCUGAUGACGAGCGGCGGACGGGUGAGUAAUGCUUGGGAACAUGCCUUGAGGUGGGGGACAACAGUUGGAAACGACUGCUAAUACCGCAUAAUGUCUACGGACCAAAGGGGGCUUCGGCUCUCGCCUUUAGAUUGGCCCAAGUGGGAUUAGCUAGUUGGUGAGGUAAUGGCUCACCAAGGCGACGAUCCCUAGCUGGUUUGAGAGGAUGAUCAGCCACACUGGGACUGAGACACGGCCCAGACUCCUACGGGAGGCAGCAGUGGGGAAUAUUGCACAAUGGGCGCAAGCCUGAUGCAGCCAUGCCGCGUGUGUGAAGAAGGCCUUCGGGUUGUAAAGCACUUUCAGUCAGGAGGAAAGGUUAGUAGUUAAUACCUGCUAGCUGUGACGUUACUGACAGAAGAAGCACCGGCUAACUCCGUGCCAGCAGCCGCGGUAAUACGGAGGGUGCGAGCGUUAAUCGGAAUUACUGGGCGUAAAGCGUACGCAGGCGGUUUGUUAAGCGAGAUGUGAAAGCCCCGGGCUCAACCUGGGAACUGCAUUUCGAACUGGCAAACUAGAGUGUGAUAGAGGGUGGUAGAAUUUCAGGUGUAGCGGUGAAAUGCGUAGAGAUCUGAAGGAAUACCGAUGGCGAAGGCAGCCACCUGGGUCAACACUGACGCUCAGAC